GAGAAUGGGGUCAGUGAAGCCAGAGACAGCAGAGGUGAAGGUAGUGGUGCGGUUGCUGCCUGGCCCGGCGUUGCUUUUAUUGUAAGGUGCCUGGAGUUCAUGAUCACGUUUGGCUUUGUGGAUGCUACUCAGUCUUAUGAAGUGAUAGUGCAGUGAAAGAUUGACCAUCGAAUGUUUGAAUCAUGAAGCCCUUUUGUUUCCGCCGGGCCAGGAUGCGAGGCGCCAUCGUGUACCUGCUCACCGCACUACUCUACUCGGCUCUGCUGCUGCUGAUGUUGACCCACUCAGGCCUGGACUUGAACAGCAGUGACAUCACCCACAUCACACGUGACAGUACUGACCAAGACAAGAACAAUGAAGUGGUGUUCUUCCUCAUUCUGUGUCAAGGUAAGACUAGAAGUUGAAAGCCUUAAUAGGAUUUAGUGUCGUAGAUCCUUAAUUAACUGAUGAGAGCUAGGAGUUACAUUGGAAA
Portunus trituberculatus (swimming crab) is the source of this 472-nucleotide long non-coding RNA. RefSeq lists it as uncharacterized. The record is from RefSeq and is a predicted model, not a curated record. The transcript has 3 exons. Lineage: Eukaryota; Metazoa; Arthropoda; Malacostraca; Decapoda; Portunidae.